UCAUCAGUCCGCAUUGAGCGAAAGUCUGAUGUAGCAACGGCGCCUGAAUGUAGAUGCCUUGAGGAGCGUAAUGCCCUCUCAUUAAGGGCCAAUGCAGGUAUAGUGAUUAACCAUAUGUAAUGCCGGUAGUUUAGAAGGAAUUCACGGCUAACUCCGUGCCAGCAGCCGCGUUAAUAAGUAGCUGGUAAGAGUUUUCCGGGAUUCAUGGGCUUAACAG
RNAcentral lists this ribosomal RNA (217 nucleotides) under uncultured bacterium. Its description in RNAcentral is "partial 16S ribosomal RNA". It matches the Rfam family "Bacterial small subunit ribosomal RNA", at positions 358 to 566 of the family's 1533-position model. The record is from RNAcentral.